Molecule: ribosomal RNA, 255 nt
Filed under: uncultured bacterium
Lineage: Bacteria
Description: partial 16S ribosomal RNA
Rfam family: Bacterial small subunit ribosomal RNA
Source: RNAcentral
CGGACGGGUGAGUAACGCGUGGAAAACCUGCCGUAUACUGGGGGAUAACACUUAGAAAUAGGUGCUAAUACCGCAUAAGCGCACAGCUUCACAUGAAGCGGUGUGAAAAACUCUGGUGGUAUACGAUGGUUCCGCGUCUGAUUAGCUAGUUGGUGGGGUAAUGGCCUACCAAGGCAACGAUCAGUAGCCGGCCUGAGAGGGUGAACGGCCACAUUGGGACUGAGACACGGCCCAAACUCCUACGGAAGGCAGCAG